RNAcentral lists this ribosomal RNA (500 nucleotides) under uncultured bacterium. Its description in RNAcentral is "bacterial SSU rRNA". It matches the Rfam family "Bacterial small subunit ribosomal RNA", at positions 28 to 481 of the family's 1533-position model. The record is from RNAcentral.
GAUGAACGCUGGCGGCGUGCCUAAUACAUGCAAGUCGAACGCAUUGUGGUUGAAAUGAUAUGAAGAACUUGUUCAGAUUUGAUUUUCAACAUUGCAAUGAGUGGCGAACGGGUGAGUAACACGUGGGAAACCUACCUCUUAGCAGGGGAUAACAUUUGGAAACAAAUGCUAAUACCGUAUAAUAAUUAAAACCGCAUGGUUUUAGUUUAAAAGAUGGUCUUGCUAUCACUAAGAGAUGGUCCCGCGGUGUAUUAGUUAGUUGGUGAGGUAAUGGCUCACCAAGACAAUGAUACAUAGCCGAGUUGAGAGACUGACCGGCCACAAUGGGACUGAGACACGGCCCAUACUCCUACGGGAGGCAGCAGUAGGGAAUCUUCCACAAUGGACGAAAGUACUGAUGGAGCAACGCCGCGUGUGUGAUGAAGGGUUUCGGCUCGUAAAACACUGUUGUAAGAGAAGAAUGACAUUGAGAGUAACUGUUCAAUGUGUGACGGUAUCUU